RNAcentral lists this transfer RNA (40 nucleotides) under Marchantia paleacea subsp. diptera. Its description in RNAcentral is "partial tRNA-Phe". Lineage: Eukaryota; Viridiplantae; Streptophyta; Marchantiopsida; Marchantiales; Marchantiaceae. RNAcentral also lists the same sequence under 10 other names. The record is from RNAcentral.
GGGAUAGCUCAGUUGGUAGAGCAGAGGACUGAAAAUCCUC